AUGUACCACUCUUACACUCCGGGUCUGAGCGCCGUCAGCACCCACCUGACGACCGCGGGCUACGCUUUGUUAGCC
This 75-nucleotide small RNA is filed under the name Xanthomonas arboricola pv. zantedeschiae. RNAcentral describes it as "sX9 sRNA". It matches the Rfam family "Xanthomonas sRNA sX9". The record is from RNAcentral. Lineage: Bacteria; Pseudomonadati; Pseudomonadota; Gammaproteobacteria; Lysobacterales; Lysobacteraceae.